RNAcentral lists this long non-coding RNA (28167 nucleotides) under Gossypium barbadense (sea-island cotton). RNAcentral describes it as "long non-coding RNA (GBAR_LNC013164)". Lineage: Eukaryota; Viridiplantae; Streptophyta; Magnoliopsida; Malvales; Malvaceae. The record is from RNAcentral.
UAACGAUGAUAUUGUACGAGGUUCUAAGGCUGUACCCACCGGUGGUUGAGCUAGGACGUUCCGUUCCAAAAGAAAUAAAACUGGGGAAUUUGUUGUUACCAGUAGGAACAGAAGUUUCGGUUCCGAUCCUGCAGAUCCACCAUGACAAAGAUCUUUGGGGUAACGACGCACGGGAAUUUAAGCCAGAGCGGUUCGCGGAAGGGGUUUCCAAAGCAACAAAGAGUCAAGUCACGUUUCUGCCAUUCGGAUGGGGUCCUAGGAUCUGUAUUGGCCAAAAUUUUGCUUUGAUGGAAGCCAAAAUGGCGAUGGCUAUGAUUCUCCAACGCUUCUGGUUCGAGCUUUCCCCUUCCUAUGCUCACUCUCCUUACAGCAGGGGAACUCUUCGUCCACAGCAUGGUGCACAGAUAAUUUUACAUAAACUUGGCUGUAAUUGAAUUGUUAUGUAAACAAAUCUUUGUGAAAACAUAGCGUUUUAGUGUAUCGUCAAAGUCCGGUGUCUGUAAUGGUACAAAUUCGAUGCAUGAAUAGUAAAUUUUGAGAUGUUUGGUGAAGUCCGAAAUAAUAUGCAGAAAUUGAGCGUCUAUGGUGGACAUAGUUGAGGGACUAAUGUGGUAAUUAUCAAUCAAAUAAUUCGGUACAAAGACUUGUAUGGAAAUUAAAGCAGGGGGAGUUGAAAAUGACUACUCUGCUUUGGGCAUCAAUUUAGAAAGAUUUAAAGUACAACUGUGUUAUCAGUUAAGGGAUUUGUUUUAAAGAGGGAAUGACAAUUAAACCUCAUGGUUUAUUUGUGCAAGGGAACCGAUGAUGGGAUGAUUAUUCUUAGUGGUAAAAAAAACCAUUAUGGAGGUUAUUACACUUGUUAUCAUCAGCUUAAAAUUCGAAUGGGUUCAAGUCGGAUUAUAUCGAGCUUGUAAGAUGAGUUCACGGACCAAGUUUGCAUAAUAAAAUACCUAAAUGAAAAAAAAUUCUAUUUUAGAGGGACGAGAGCCCCUAUCAACUCCCGGCUCAGCCACUAAACAAUACCUAUAUCAUAUAAAUAAAUACCACCAUCUAAAAGACUCAAAGAAAAACACUCAACAAAGGAUAAAUAGAUAGAUGUUGGAUAAGUGUCCAAAAUAUGAUUUAAGUGAAGAUACAUGUGGUAGGUGUUACGGAAAUGUGAAGACAAGAAUCCCACUAACGUAUGGGAUGUGUGCAGUUGAAUGUAGGGAGCAAAAAGAGGAGUGAAUCAUUUUGGUAACAUUUGGACAAGAAACAUAAUGAACAAAAUGGAAGGAGAGGAAGCUAGUAAAAGAAUUUUUUUGGGUCAUAUAAUUUGUUCAUUUUGGAGUUGAAUUAUAAUUUUUUUAUAUAUUAUUUUAAAAUUUUAAGGAGUUAAAACAAAAUUAUUUUAUUUUCAGAUGGUCAAAGUAGAGGUGAUAAUGGGUUGGGCUAUUCGGCCCGGCCUGACGAUUCACUCGAAAAAUAGGAGGGUUUAGGUAAAAAUAUAGGCUCGAAAUAGGGAUUUGAGCAAAAAAAGAGUCCCGUUUAGAAAAUGGGCCAGGCCUCGGGUAAAAUUUUUUGGGCCCAAGCCUGACCUGAAUUAUAUAUUAAAUAUAUUUUUUAAUUUUUAAUCAAAUAUACUUUUUUUUAUUAAUUUGGUUAUUAUUUUAGUUCUAAUUUGUUUCAAUUUUAAUAUAACCACUUUUUAUUAUAUUUUCAAUUUGUGUAUUGUUUUAAGAAUUGUUUUAGUCUCAUUUUUUUAUUUAUUUUUUGUUUUAAUAAUUGUUUUAAAAAUUUUUAUUUAAUGAAAUAAGCUAAAAAAAUUAAUAUGGGCUUGGCCAGGCCAGGCUCGGGCCUAGUAAUUUUCUUUUGGGCCGGACUUAGAUAAAAUUUUAAGCCCAUAUUUUAAAUUGGGUCCUAACCUAAAAAAUGAACCUAAAAUUUUAUAUGGGCCCGACUUGGCCCUUGAUUACCUUUAGGUCAGAGCUAUCCUCGUUUUGCAUUUCUUUGAGAUUCAGCCUUAUCUACUGUGAUUGCCCACUCAAUUGAGGGUUGAGUAGAAAGAUUUGGUGAAGCAAGCUAAGCUAUCAAUCAAGGUUUGCAUAAUUAUUUAAAUGUAAUUCUAAUAUUAAAAUAAUUUUUUUAUUAAUAUAGUAUCAACAAGCAUUAAAUGUAAUGAUCAUAUACUAUUACAUUUUAAAGAAGAGAAAACAUGUUUGAACUUUAAAAACCACGUUACUAAAAACAUUAUCACAAACCUUGAAAUAUAAAAAAUAAUUUUUUUAAUAUAAUAAAAAAUUAAUUUUAAACCCGAGCUGAAUAAAAUUCUAAUUUUAGUUAAUGAUACGAACAACAAAUCAAUAUUCUAAGCCCGAGCCCUGCUCAUUUUUUUAAUAAACACCAAAAAUUUAUUUUGAAAAUAAAAAAUAAAAAAAAUAUUUUAAAAAUAUUUUAAAAAUAAAAAAAAUUAAAAAUAAAUAUUUAUUAUAUAUUCAGGCCGGGCCGGGCUAGCCUUGGGCUAAAAAAAUGGUGCCCGAGGCCCGGCCCAUUUUCUAAAUAGGCCUCAUUUUUUGUCCAAACCCAUAUUUUGGGCCUAUAUUUUUACCCGAACCUCUCAUAUUUUGGGCGGACCGUCGGGCCGGACCGGGCCGCCCGGCCAUGAACACCUCUAGGGCAAAGUCACUCAAUGAAUGCAUGGAAAGAAAUAUUGCAACUUGGUGACAGCUUUUGUUGGAGUUAUAUGCUUUUUUUUACAUAGUGGAACUUUCGGUGGAUUUUCAAGUUUCAUGAACUUUAUACCCUAGGCUUUACGUGAAAAAAAUCAUUGGACUUAAAAGUCUACCAAAAGUUUCACUAUAAUAAAUAAAUAAAUAAAUAACAUUGCUACAAGACUACAACAUAAAGUUACAAUAAGAGCUUAUAACUCAACAAAGGCUAUCAAUAAAUAAUCUCAAGCAAGCUAAAGAGAAAUGUUGAGAGUACCACUCAAAUAGUGAUUGACUUUAAAAAUUGAAAACCCGAAGUUAUUGUUGACACCAUUUUUUGGAUGAAAAUGUGUCGACUUGGGUUUUGAAAAUGAAAACGAAAACGAGAGUCGCCACCAAUCCUUUUUGAUAAGGUGUGACUGGGUCACCUUGAAAAGUGGUUGUUUUUAAUAAACGAUUUGAUUUUAUUAAAACAACAGUUUUGGUCCACGAAAUUCAGAAAAAUGAGUUCGGGAGUCGGUUACGCACGAGGAAGGAUUAGCACCCUCGAUACGCCCAAAAUUGGUACCUAGUUGAUUACUUAAUGUCUUAAUGUCGAAAAUUGAAAACUUUGGAGAAUUUUAAACAUACGAUCCUUGUAUUAAAACGUUAAAAAUUUUCAAGAAAAUGGGAUAUUUCACGUUAUUCGAUAAAGAGAAUCAUAUCCUAGUAAGUUAGGACACAAUAUCUCGAAUUUCCGAUAUCAUUUAAAACUUGAGUUUGAAAAGAUUCGUGUAAUAAAGUUUAAAAUAAUAUUCAAUUGUUUAAAUCAAAUGAAGAAAUCGCAACCCAAUACGUUAGGGCACAAUUUCUCAAAAUAUUAAACAUUGAAUAUUGCAUUUAUUUCGAAAAAUCCUCAUCUCGAGAAAACGUGUCACAUCCAAUGCAUUAGAAUACAACGUAUUGAAUUCUCGAUAACGAGCUUUUUCUCAUUUUUUAAAAGAGUAAUCUCGAUUAUUUAGGUUCAACGAAGAAAAUCAAAACCCAAUACGUUAGGGCUCGAUUUUCUCAAAGAUUCCAAAUACCGAGUAUUACUUAUAUUUUUAAAAUUUCUUUUUUGAAAUCCGAGUAAAAAUGAAUGCAAAAUAAUAAAUGAUGACAAUGUAAAUAAAAUGAUACAAGCAAAACAAUAAACAAUAAAAAUAAUCAUACGGGCAAGGUAACAAAUAAUUAGGAACUAAAGAAAGAGAACAAACAAUAAUAAACAUGCAAAUAAAUGAACAAAAUUAACAACAUGAUGCAAAUAUGAAAGAUAUAUAAGCACAUAUAUAUACAUAAAAUAAUGAGAAUAUGAAAAAAUGUGUGUAAUUGGACAUGUUUCGGAAUUAUUAUACAUUUAAAAAUCAUGUAAAUGUGUGUACAUACAUAUAUACAUAUAUAAUAAUCAUUAAAUAUAUAAAAAUACAUAUGUGUAGGUAUAUAUGAGUCAUAAAAUGUAAAGAAUAUAUACAAGAUAUAUUUUGAACGUAUAAAGUAUAUGUAAAUGUAUAUAUAUAAUAAAGGUGUAUGAAAGCAUAUUUUAUAUACGUGUAUUUAUAAAAUGUAUAUAAAUGUAUAUUGAUUUACCAAUACAUAUGGAUUUAUAAUUAUAGAAUAUAUAUAAAAUAUUUACAUAUAUACGUUUAUGCAUAUAUAAAAGUAAGUUAUUAUAAAAUAUGAGCAAGCAGAAUACAUAAAUAUAUAUACAUAAAAUAAAAAUGAAGAUGAAAAUAAUAUAAAACUACUUAAUAUAUUAAUAUAAUAGUAACAAAUUAAAAAAACAGAAAAUAAAGCUAAUAAUAAUUAAUAAUAGUAGUAAUAAUUAUAGCAGCAAUGAUAAUGAUAAUAAUAAUAACACUAAAAAAAUUAAUUAAAUAAUAAAAUUGCUAAAAAGGGAUUAAAUCGAAAUAAAAACAUAAAUACUGGGCGAUUUUGAAAUAAAAAACGGGAAGGACCGAAUUGCAACGCGCGUUGAAAAGGAAAGGGCCAAAACUGCAAAUAAACCACAGCCCCAAAACGCAGCGUUGAAAUGGACCAAGUCGAAAUAAAAAUAAAAUUGCAGGGGCUAAAUUAAAAAUAAGAGAAAAUAACGAAAAAUGAUCAAAUUGUAAUACGCUGCAAAAUCAGGGGGACUGCACGCGCAAAUAGCCCAAAAACUGAAAACACGCGGAUCCUCCGGGUCGGGUCGGGUCGGGUCAGGUCGACGUGCGGAUCCCCUUUGCUAAAACGGCGUCGUUUCAUGUUUAAUAUAAAUACUAAAAAAAGCUAAAAAAAACAGUUUCAUCUUUUUUUAAAAAAAACAGAGAGAAAACUCUCUCUUUUUCCCUCAGGUCCGGCCAUGGUCCGGCUUGGGAUUUCCGACGAGUCUCCGCCGCAAAGCCACCGUGUGUGGCGGCCGGAGGUUCAAAAUCAGACCUUUUUGGUCCUUUUUUAAAGUCCAUGGCCUCCAAGCCACAGAUCCGGGGCUGAAUCUCCUGAAUCGAAAGCCGAAGACCCAAAAAAUGGGGUGAAAUCCUUCGCCUUCCUCCCCCUUCCGGCGCUGCGCAGGUAAGGUUUUUUUUAACUCCUUUUUUACUAUCUUUAUUUAUAUAUAUACAUGAAGAGAAAAGAGAGCAAAAUAAAUAAAUAAAUAAAAACUUCAAAACUGAAGAGAAAAAGACCUUGAAUCUGCCUUAUUUAUUUUCUUUCGGUUGAAUCUGUUUUUGUUUGUUACAAAAGUUUCCAGGGAAGAGAAAAAAAAAGAGAGUUACAUGCUUGGCUUUUAUAGCCGAUAUUAAUUUCUAUUUUUUGUUUUCUUUUUCCUUUCUUUUCUUUGGCUGUUGCGUGUUUGCUUCCUUAUUGCAGGGUGAUUGACGGGAGUGGUUGGCGACAGAGUCGGUGGCCACUUGCACUGAUGAAGCAGCGGUGGCGGCGCUAGGGUAGGCUAGGGACGGCGGCAGUACUAGGGUUUCAGAAAACUGAAACCCUAGUUUGACAAAUUGGUUUCGGGCCUGUUGGGCUUUAAAUUAUGGGCUUUGUAAUUGGGUUUUGGGUUUAGGUGAUUUGGGUUUAGGUGGUAUGGGCCCGGGUCAAAUUUUGGGUAAUGGGAUUGGGGCAAAAUUGGGUUGUACAGUUAUAAUAUCCCAAACGAAAUCAAACUAUAAACAUUAAAUUUUUCGAGUCUUCUAGAUACUGUAAAAAAUUCAGCUCCAACGGACACCAAAUGAACCUAUGAUCGAAGAAAAUACGAAGACUAGUCUGGCUAAAUCAAUCUGCCAAACUUACUUUUUAUCUUAUCUUUAAUUUGCUGUGAAAUUCAAAACUACGUGUAAUACUCAAUUUAUGCUCGACCCAUUUUGUUAAAACAAAUAAAAAAGAAAAGAAAAACAAAAUAUUUAAAUUUAGCCCAAAUGUCCAUUUACACAGCCCAAUUACAAUUGCAAAUAAAAAAAACUAAAACUAAACCCGAUCCUAAGCAUCAGCCCAAAUUCGACCCAUGCCCAAAACGAAUUCAGAUGCAGAAACCCUAGCCCAGCCUUAAUGCAAGCAAAAGUCGAAAGCCCUAAUAGUUGGUGCGCCGCUCCUGUAACAGCCCGAUUUUGGGCCUAGUCGGAACAGUGGUUUUGGGACCACAAAUCCGACGAGAAAAAAAUGUAAUGGCCCGAAUUUUCAGAGGUGUCAGAACGGUGAUUCGAGAUCACUAAAUUCGACAAAUGGGUAGAAAAUAUUAUUAAUUUAGUAAGUAUAAGUUAAAUGUGAAGUUAGGAAAAUUUUUGAAAUGGUGAAUAGUACACUAGAAAUAAAUAUUAAAAUAAUUAGAAUCGAAAAUGAGGUAUCGAGACCUCGGGGAUUUUAAACCGAGCCAUAAAUAUUUUUAUAAAUAUUUAUGUAGUCUUAAAAAGUUAGUAUUAAAGUUUCGUUAAGAAAUUUUAAAGUUCCGAUAAUUAAUUGAACAAAAAGGACUAAAUUGUAACAAAUACAAAAUUAUGAGAAAUGAUUAAAUAGUUUAAAUGAUAAAAGGAAGAGGGCUUAAAAGGUAAAUAGACCCAAGGUCUAUUUGGGCUGCACGGCAAAGGCAUGAAAUCAGCAACAAAGUAAGGAGAAUUAAGGGCAAAAUUGGAAUAUUGCAAAAUUUACUUAAUAAAGUUAGGACCAAAGUGGAAUUAUCUAGAUUUCUCUUUAUUUUUCUGCAUUAUCAUCAGCAUAAACACCAUAGAAGGGUUUUCUUAAGCUGGUUCUUCCUAUUUUUACUGCAGGUAAGUUCAAUUCUUGAUUAUUUCUUGAAAAUUUUGUGUUUUUGUGACUUUUACAACUAGGCCCACUUAUUGUAUUCAUUAGUUUUUGAUUCUAUGAAAGAAGUUGAAAGUUGCUAUGAAUACAUGCUGGAAGUAUAUGAUGAUUUAGCAUGGAAUUAGAGCUUUAAAUUGUUCAUAUGCUGAUUUAUUGAAAGAAUUGAAUAGAAAGUGAAUGUUUGGGACCUAAUAGUAAAAGAGUUUGAAGAUAGAGUUAUAUGUGGAAAUUCUGAAUUUCAAUAGUUGUGAAACAACUUAUAAUGUCUAGGUUAAGUAUUAAUUGAGAAAAUUAAAUUAAUUGAGGGGUUAAUUGAGAAAGGACCGAAUUGUAUAAACUGUGAAAUUUGGGGCAAAAAGGAAAUCAACAUUUUACACUAAAGCAGUUUUGGACAGCAGCAGUAGUAUAACUUUGAAAAAUCACCAAAAAUUUUGAGAAUUGAAUUAGAGGGUGAAUAAAAUAUAAAAUUAAAGCUCCUUGAAUCUAGUUUCUCAUAGAAGAAACGGUGUAAGCAAUGGAAUUGUAAAUCAUGAGAUAUAAUAAAUUUUGUGAGACAAUGUCAUAAUGAUUUCGGGUUCCCCUAUUCUGACUUUGGAAAAUCAUCAAAAAAUUAAGAAAAAUAUGAGUUAUAAUUUAUAUGAUUACAAUCCUUAAUGAGUCUAUUUUCAAAGAAAAUAAACGGAAAUAUCAUCCAAAUUCUGUACAAUUAUAUAAUUCAUUUUUAGUGAAGAGUGGUCGAAACUGUCAGACAGCGAAAUAGGGGGAACUUUAAAGAAUAAACUGUACUAUUUGGCUGAACCAAAAAUUCUGAAAAUUUUAUGGUAAGAAGGUAUGUGAGUCUAGUUUUAAGGAAAAUUAACGGAUCUUAAUUUAGAGCUCUGUAGCUCUAGAUAAAAAUAAUUUAGUGACUCUGACUCAGAUAAAUAGCUUUGAAUGUACAUGUGAGUGAAUAGUGAAAUUAUAGCUAGUGUUGUUUAAGUGUGUUAUACACAUUAAGGAUAUGGAAUGGAGAGGAGGAGGAGGAGGAAAAAUUGGGAAAUAUAUGAAUGAUUUGUGUAUAAUUGGUCAUAUGCUUAAUUAUAAUUGAUAAACGAUGAAAUAGAAAUGAUGCAUAUAUUUGUGCAGUAUUGGUCAUGGUUUAAGCUCAUGUGGGAAAAUAAAGUUUAUAGUACGUGUGUAUUAUAUUUUUGGUAUAUGAUUUGGCAUUAAGUAAUGUCGUGAAUGGAUAUUGAAUUAACACAUGUUGGAAAGUUUGAUAUAUGAAUAAAUAUUGUGAUCAUGAAAGAGUGUUACAGCUCCUGCCUUCAGCACGCGUCGAGCCUCCGCGCCAAAUCCACGUGAGCCUCCGUACACUCCAACUAGCCUCCGUACCUGCAACAAACAAAAGUAGACAAAACAACAGCAAAGGAUAGGAAGAAAAGGCAGUAAAUAGUGAAGAUUUUUCUGUAAUUUUCUUUGGAUUUCAUUAUGUAUUUUCGGCUAUAAAAGAGCCAUUAGGAAUAUUUGUAAAGGGUUUUUUUUUUACCCUCACACACAAAGAGAAUAUACACGCAUACAAGAUCAAUAUAGAGAAAGAAAUAAAAAUAAAUAAAUACAAAGAAUAGAAAAUCAAGUUUCGAAGGUGAUUCUUUGAAAAAUCCUUUUCGUUUUUCUCAUUUUUCCUUUUUCCUGGAUCUUUUGUUCAUUUCAAGUAAAAAAAGUAUAGAAAGGAAACAAGUUUAGAGGAAGGAGGUUUACCUGGACGCCGGACCUCGCUCGCCUCGUCGAAAUCGAAGGCUGAGAGGGGAUAAAUCGGUUUUGCGGCAGAAGGAAAGGGGGGCUAGGGUUCUUGUUUUAACUUUUUUAAAAAAAAUAGAAAAGGUUGCUAAUUAGGUUUUAAUGGGGGAUUUAUGUGUGUUAAAAAAACGACGUCGUUUAGCGACCUUUGACCCGUGCGGUGACCCGACCCGAGGAAAGGAUCUGCGCGUUUUGGGUCUGAUGGGUUUAUUGCGCAACAAGCCCUUCCGCAUUUGUUUUUCGUUUCAAUUCGGUUUUUAUUUGUUUUUUAAUUGUUUUCUCAUAUUUAGUUCCAAUUUCAAUUGGGUCCAUGAUUAAACGACAUCGUUUUCAUUGAUUGGGUUUGAAGGCCUGGUUUUGUGCGUCUAAAUUGCAGCAAUGGUCCCCCUGAUGUGCAAUAGUUCUCGAUUUAGUCGUCUCCACACUUAUUUCAAAGUCGUCCUUGAGAUUUUGUUUUAUUUUUGAAAUUGUCCUUGUCUUCUUUUAAUUUAUAAUGAUAUUAUUAUUAUUGUUGUUGUUAUUAUUACUAUUAAUAUGGGUAUUGUUAUCAUGUUAGUUUAUAUCUAUUUAUUUACUUUUAUUUUAUUAUGUAUUAUUAUAUAAUGCUUUUAUCAUGUAUCAUUUUAUAUAUUUUCUAUGUUAAUCUAAUAUGAUAUAUAUAUAUAUAUGUAUUUUUGUGAUCUUAUUUUAUAAUACUUUUUUAACCCAUUUAUAUGCCUUUAUGUUUUAAAGAUUUAUAAUAUUUUGUGCAAAACUAUUAUAUAUAUAUAUAGAUAUACAAUUUAUAUUAGACCAUUUUUAUCGUACAUAUACGUAUAUAUAAUUUAUAUUUUGAAACUCUAUUUUAUUAUAUUUUAUGCCUCUAUAUACAUCAUUAUAUGUUUAUUAUUCUUUAUAUUAAACCUGCCAUUUCACUUAUAUAUUUUUAAAACCAAUGUGUAUUAUUCUUUCUUCUUUGUUAUUUUUUAUCUCUUAAAAUAGAUUGAUAAUUCAUUUAAUUUUUGAAUGUUGUAUGACCGAGAUUAUCGUUGCCAUUCUUGUCCAAAUUUAUCCAUUGCUUGUUCAUAUUAUUUGAUAAUUUAUCGCUCACUAGCAUGUAUCGUAAUUUACGAAUUAUCAUUUUGAAUUAUGUACUACCAUUCAAUCGCAUUACAUUUGUUUGGAAAACAUCGAAAUCGUUUUGCACAUAAACCUUCAAAAUGCUUGGUAUCCAAAAUUCUCGAGAGGAUUGUGCCCUAAUUUAUUGGGCUUCAAUUCCCCUUUUUGAUUUUAAAUAACCGAAUACCCCUUUUUCAAUUUGAACAUAGAAAUUCCAAAAUAAAAAAAAACUCAUUCUCGGGAAUUUGAUGCGUUGUGUCCUAACGUAUUGUAUAUGACAUAUUUUUCUCGAGACGAGGAUUUUUCUAACAAAUAAAAAUAAAGGCAAUAUUCGAUAUUUAGGAAUUUUGUGAAAUCGAACCCUAACUUACUGGGUUUUGAUUUUUUCAUUUGACCCAAGUAGGAUAUCCUUCACAAAUGCACAGAUUUUAAAAAAUCAAAAGAUAAACUUAAUUUCGAGGAUUUAAAAUGUUACACUCUGACUUACUGAGUGUGUCAAUUUAUUUCUUUGAAAUAAGUGAGUCUUAUCAUCCAAUUUAUUUUAUUCAAAUUUUCUUUUCCAAGGAUCGUAUUUUAAAAUUUUUUCAAAAUUUCGACAUUAAGACAUUAAGCAAUCAAUUCAGUACCAAUUUUGGGCGUCACGAGGGUGCUAACUCUUCCUCGUGCGUAAUCGACUCCCGAACCAGUUUUCUCAAAAUUCACAGACCUAAAAUUAUUUUCAAGGUGAUCCGAUCACACCACAAUAAAAGAUCAGUGGUGACUCCCAUUCCUAUUUUUAAAAGUCGAUUCCUGUUUUUCAUAUAUAAAAAAAUGGUUUCGACACUACGGUUUUGUUUGUUUCCCUUAGAACAACUUUCAAAAAGUUAAUUUUGAAAAAUGGAUUGAAUUUUCAAAAUAGAUGAUAUUUUUUUGUGUUAAAAUUUUAUUCGUUGUUUGAAAAAAAAAUUUAAAUCAUUUUCUUAGAAUUAUUUUUAGUGAAACAAAUAUAUCAUAAAUAUAUUUGUUAUAAAAUAUUAUAUUAAUAUUUUCUUUUAACAAUUAAAAUAUAUUUUGUGAUAAGGUAAUAUUUUAUAAUAAUUAAUAUCAUAUAUACUUAAUAAUAAAUCAUGUCUAAUUAAAAUUUAAUUUCAAUUAAAUAUAUUAAUAAAGCUACAUUUAAUCAUAUUUUAUAUAAUUAAAAUAUUAAUAUAAAUAUUUUUCAAUAAUAUAUUAAAGAAUAUUUAAAAUUUAAAUUUAUUAUUACUAAGAUUAAUUAUUAAAACAAAAAUGUAAUAUUAAAUAAUUUAUCCAAUGAUAAGUUAUAUUAAUAAUUUAUUAUAUUAUUAAAUAUAAAUAAUUAAAUAUGUAUGUUUAAUAAUAUUAUGUUAUAAUAUUUAUUACUAAUAUUUUAAUAUUUUUAAACAACCAUGUUUUAAAGAUGGUGGUGAUGGUGAUGGUGCAGGCCCCCUUGUUAAAAUUACAAUAUUUUUAAGUGGGAUGCAUGUAAUAUAUUGUUAGGGUUUUAGAGUAUGUGGUCUUUAAAAGGGUUAAAUUAUAUAUUUAUAUAAUAUGAUUAUUGUUUAUAAACAUAAUAUUGUAGAUAAGUUUAUAUGUAUGUCAAUAUGUAUCCUACUCUAAGGUUAAUAUGUAUUUUUUAGAUGUGGGUUUACCUAUAUAAUAGUAUGAAUCCAUCAUGUGGUCUCAUGAAAUAUACAAACACAUAUCGUGCGAACACAAAGUACGAACAAUAAAAAAUACAAAUCAAGACCCAAUUGAAUAAUUGAAUAACGGAUAGGUAAUAAUGAAUAUCAUAACAUUUACUAUCCCCUCUUUUCUAGUGAGUUAUUGUUUAUGAUAAAUUUGCAACAAAUGUUUUUAUCAUUAUUUUGUUGGUAAAUGAUAAUAAGAUUAAACAUUACUUUCUUAAGCUCCUUCAAUUCUUUGGACGUUAGCGAGUAAACUUGAGCUUCAGCAUUCCACAAACACCUUAAUUUGAAGACACAGUUCUCUCAUACUAAAAACGACAUGGACGUUUACCUUGUAAUUAGAGAUUUGGGCUCAUUGUUGGGUUAUUAAUGAUACGGGGAUGGAGAGCUUUAAACUGGGUAUGGUUGGCCCCAAAGAGGCUCGAAACGUGCUUGAGACUAGAGGUGAUCAAGGGCCGGGUUAGGCCCAGUCUAGAAAAAAAAUUAGGCCCAUUUUUUAGAUUUGAACUCGGCUCGGCUCAAAAUAUAAGCUUAAAAAUUUGUCUAAGUUCAGUCCGAAAGAAAAUUGUUAAGCCCAAGCUCGACCCAUAUUAAAUUUUACAACACCAAAAAAGUAUAUUUAAAUAAAAAUAAAAUAUAUAUAUUUAAUAUAUAAUUCGGGCCGAGCUGAACUCGGGCCAAAAAAGUUUUACUCGGGGCUGGUCCGUUUUCUAAACAGACUUCGUUUUUUUUGCCAAAAUCCAUAUUUUUACCCGAAUCUUCCUAUUUUUUGGGGUGUGCCGUCGGGCCGAACUGGGUAACCGAACCAAUGAUCACCUCUGUAAUCACUGAAUUUUGUCCGGGAAUAACUUUCGUUAAAAAAAUUUUAAAAUUAAAAAAAAAUUAACUUUUUUGCUUUUUGACCCCUAAACUUUUCUAAAAUUUCAUUUUAACCCCUAAACUUUCUCAAAAUUACAGUUCAACCCCUAAACUUUUCUAAAUUACAUUUUGACCCCUAAAAUUUCUUAAAAUUACAUUUGGACCCUUACACUUUCUCAAAAUUACGUUUCGGCCCCAAAAUUUUUGCUACAUUUACAAAUUGGUCCUUCUGUCAGAAAAUCCCCAAUAAUCCGGCGGAUUUCGUGCACCUGCCCCACUAUUUCCGGCAGCCGGCCUAGGGCAUGGCCUUCCCCACCUGCUACCUGCAAACAAGAAGCAAAAUCAACUAUAAAAAGGAGUUUAAACUCCAAAAAUCGGACCCCCACCCACGAAAAAAAUAAAAAAAAAAAACUUGAAAGAAAAAGAAAAAAGCUUUGAGAAAGAAAAAGAAAAGGAAAAGAAGAGAGGGGAGAAGGAGAGGCCGACCAUCGGCGAGCCACCGGAGGAGGCGACGGCAGCAGCGGCAUCGACGGCGGCGUAGAAGACCGAACGGAGAAGAAGAAGAAGAAGAAAAAAAAAGAAAGAAGAGAAAGAAAGAAGGAAGAAGAAGAAGAAAGAAACAAAAAAAAAAGAAAAUAUUUUGUAAUAGUCGGCCCGGCCCGACUCGACCUGCACGACCCGUGACCCGACCCGACAGCACCAGCAACCUAGCAGGCCACGGUAGCAGCCCGGCGGCCCAAAGAGUAGCCCAAAAAGAAAAAAAGAAGAAGAACAAAGCAAAAAAAAAAAGCAGGCCAUUUUCAGCAGGCCCAGUGCAGCCCAGCAGACCCAGCGAACCCAGCAGGCCAGGCCCACACGCAAGCAGCCCAACAGAAAAAAAGGGAAAGAAAAAGAAAAGAAAAAAGAAAAAAGAAAAAAGAAGAAGAAGGGGUUCAAUUUGUAUUAUCCGUUCGGCGAAGCUCGUGUUUUGAGGAUUUUUUUUCGGUAAUUUUAUUUUUUAAUUUUAAUUUAAUGCUCGUAUUUUUUUUAAAUAUUAUUAGUAUUUUAUGCAUUUUUAUAUUUUGGCAUUUAUAUUUUUAAUUUAAUUUACUUCAAUUUUUAUUUUAUUUUAUUUUAAAUAAUUUUAAUAAAUGAGGCAACGAAUCGAUUUAACAUAAAAUCGUUGAUUUCAUUGCUAUGUUGGGUGAAUAUCAUCGGUUUGUGUUAAACACGAUACACCCUUUUUAAAAAAAAGAAAAAAAUCGAAAAAAUUCUAAAAUUCUCAUUUUUUUAAAAUUCUCGUGUUUUAAUAGAAUCACGAUUAAAUAUUAAGUUGAAUCGAUUUGGCACUAAUUCGAUGAUUUCAUCUCCAUGUAGGGAUGAAUAUCAUUUAUUCGUGUUAAAUAUGGUACUUCUGAAAAAAAAUCGGGUUUCAAAAAUUUUCGUGUUUUCAAAAAUUCUCAUGUUUCAAAAAUCUUCGUGUUUUAAAAAUUCCAGUGUUUCAAAAAUUUUCGUGUUUUCAAAAAAAAAUUUCUCGUGUUUUUAAAAAUUCCCGUAUAUCGAAAUUUUCUUGUUUUCAAAAAAAAAAUUCCAUGUUUCAUAAAUUUCCGUGUUUUCAAAAAAAAAUUCUUGUUUUUCAAAAAUUUUCGUUUUUAAAAAAUUUGACCGUGUUUCAUAAAUUUUCGUAUUUCAAAAAAACCUCGUGUUUCAAAAUUUUCGGGUUUUUUUAAAAACAAUUCGUGUUUCUAAAAUUCUCGUAUUUUAAAAAAAAUCGUGUUUUCAAAAAAAGAAAAAGUUGUUGUGCUUUAAAAUUAUCGUGUUUCAAUCGGAUCACGAUUAAUAUUAAAUUGAACUCGUAUUUUUGAAAAUGAAAACAACGCGCGUUUAACGAGAUACCAAUUUUGGGCGUCGCGAGGGUGCUAAUACCUUCCUCGCGCGUAACCGACUCCCGAACCUUAAUUUUCUCUGAAUUUUUACGUGGACCUAAAAUUACCUCUUUUUAGAAAAGUUUAAAAAUGAAUUUUUCUUCUAAAAAGAGAAUUUUGUAGGUGUCCGAUCACACCUAAAAAAAGAUCGGUGGCGACUCCUUUUUUUCAAAUAAAAUCGAGAUUCAGUUUUCAAGUUUUUAAUAAUUACUUCGACAAGCGCCCGUGCGCAAAAUUUUUAAGUCGCUACAGCCUCUACUUGAGACAACAGGGUUUUGCAGGGAAUUCUUACAGGUUCGUUUCUGGCGACAAAAAAGAGCUCUUCACUAUAAGCAUACAAACAAGAGCCAAAACUAUGCCUCUUAGUGAUGAUAUUAGGCCUUAUGUUAUUCCUUUUCAACAUCAAACCGUCAACCGGUAUGGUAUGUUUUUUUUAUUUAAUCUGCAAUUUGUGAUAAUUCUUUGUUAUUUAUGUAUGGAAUUUAUUGGGAGGAAAUGCUGGAAAGAAUUCAUUUACGAGAAUUGGUCCAAGAUCAAGGGUGAACAUUACGGACCCUGAAAAAUAAGAGAAAUACUUAACAAAUUUAAUGACUUCCAGAAGAUACGUACCAAUCCACUGCUUAAUUUGCUUGUAAGCGGCCUUGUUAACCUCGAAGGAGACCGAUGGAGCAAGCAUAGAAAAAUCAUAACCCUUGCAUUUCAUCAAGAUAAGUUGAAGGUAUAGAAUAGUAAUGGGUACUCAAGACUUUAAAGAAAACAUCAUACUUAAGCCUAUGCUUUUCUGAUUUAGAAAUAAUUGGAUGCAGAAUAUGUUGCCAGCAUUUUAUCAAAGUUGUAGUGACAUGUUUAAGCAAAUGGGAGAAGAUGGUGUGUACAGAAGGAUACAUUGAGUUAGAUGUGUCGCCUUAUCUCGUAGAUUUGACAAGAGAUGUUAUUUCCCGAUCUGCUUUUGGAAGCAGCUUCGAAGAAGGCAAACGAAUUUUCCAAUUACUAGAGGACCAACUCGUUCUCACAAUCAAAUUAAUACAAACUGUUUACAUUCCAGGAUGGAGGUAACCGUCUACUUUAAUUUACUUGAAAAAGGUUGCAAAUGUUGGAAUUGGCUAAAUUCGUGUUUGUUUUCUUGAAGGUUUUUGCCCACAAAGACAAACAGGGAGGUGAAGAUGAAACACAAAGACAUAAAAGAGUCGCUCAGGGAAAUGAUAAAAAGAAGAAAGCAGGCAAUUAAAGCAGGGGAAGAGAGUAAUGAGGACUUGUUGGACAUACUUGUGGAAUCCAAUAUCAGAGAAAUGGAAGCAAAGAAUAUGGGGAUGAGCAUUGAGGAUGUGAUUGAGGAAUGCAAGCUGUUUUACUUAGCUGGCCAGGAGACCACUUCGGUCUUACUGGUGUGGACUAUGGUUUUAUUAGCAAGGUAUCCCGAUUGGCAAAGUAAAGCAAGAGAGGAGGUUUUGCAUGUUUUGGGUGACAGUAAACCUGAUGCUGAUGGCCUUAAUCGUCUCAAAGUUGUAAGUCCCUAGCAUGUCUCUUGAAGGCCCGAUCUCUGAGGUCGACAACUCAAAAACUUGGUUCUUUGUUUCGCUAAUUCUACAGUUAACAAUGAUAUUGUACGAGGUUCUAAGGCUGUACCCACCAGUGAUUGAGCUAGGACGUUCCGUUCCAAAAGAAAUAAAACUGGGAAAUUUGUUGUUACCAGCAGGAACAGACGUUUCGGUUCCAAUCCUGCAGAUCCACCAUGACAAAGAUCUUUGGGGCGACGCCGCACGGGAAUUUAAGCCACAGCGGUUCACGGAAGGGGUUUCCUAAGCAACAAAGAGUCAAGUCACGUUUCUGCCAUUCGGAUGGGGUCCUAGGAUCUGCAUUGGCCAAAACUUUGCCAUGAUGGAAGCUAAAAUGGCGAUGGCUAUGAUUCUCCAACGCUUCUGGUUUGAGCUUUCCCCUUCCUAUGCUUACUCUCCUUACAACAUGGCAACUCUUCGUCCACAGCAUGGUGCACAGAUAAUUUUACAUAAACUUGGCUGUAAUUGAAUUGUUAUGUAAGCAAAUCUUUGUGAAAAUAUAGUGUUUUAGUGUAUCGUCAACGUCUGUCUGUAAUGGUACAAUUCCGAUGCAUGAAUAGUAAAUUUUGAGAUGUUUGGUGAAGUCCGAAAUAAUAUGCAGAAAUUGAGUGUCUAUGGUGGACAUAGUUGAGGGACUAAUGUGGUAAUUAUCAAUCAAAUAAUUCGGUACAAAGACUUAUAUGGAAAUUAAAGCAGGGGGAGUUGAAAAUGACUACUCUGCUUUGGGCAUCAAUUUAGAAAGAUUUAAAGUACAAAUGUGUUAUUAGUUAAGGGAUUUGUUUUAAAGAGGGAAUGACAAUUAAACCUCAUGGUUGAUUUGUGGAAGGGAACCAAUGAUGGGAUGAUUACUCUUAGUGGUGAAAAAAAAACUAUUAAGGUGGUUAUUAUAGUUGUUAUCACCAGCCUAAAAUUUGAAUAGGUUCAGGUCGGAUUAUAUUGAGCUUGCAAGAUUAGUUCACGGACCAAACUUGCAUGAUAAUAGGUAUUCACAACAAGAUAUCUAUAGUUUCCAACAAAGUCACAUGUGAGAUCGUGCAUUAGAACCGCAUAAACAUGUUUUAUGUUUAGAAUAUGAUAUGUGUCUAUGUGUAUAGAAUCUACCUAAUAUAUCAUAUUAAUGAAUAGUAUCAAUUGCGGAGCCAAAAAAUUAUUUGUGAGGGGUCAGAAUUAAAUUGUAUAUUUUUACAAAAAUAAAAAUUAAAUUUCACUAUUUUAAUAGUUUAUUUAUUUUUAAUUUUUAAAUGAUUAAAUUAAAUUUUAUAAAUUUUUAGGAUCAAAGUAUAAUUUUAUCAUUACUAAUUUAAAAUUUUAUAAAUUAUAAAAAGUUUAUAUGAAAAGUUUUCUAUUUUAGGGUGGCCAAAGCCCCUGUCAACUUCUGACUCGAUCACUUGCGGUUAGUUGGGUAAAGACUCAAGAAAAAUAGCGGUGUGUUUGGAUGGACGGUGCGUUUACUUGCGGUUAGUGUAAAAAUAGCGGUGGCGGUGAGAUUAGAUACUAUAGCAACACUGUAGCGUGAGACAAAAAGUAAGUUAAACGCACUGCACUGCACUUAAUCGUCUAUCUAAACUCACCAUAAGUGUCUAAAAUAUGAUUUAAGUGAAGAUACGUGGGGUAGGUGUCAUGGAAAUGUAAAAAAAAAAAAGAAUCCUACUAAUGUAUGGGAUGUGUACAAUUGAAUGCAGGAGUGAAUCAUUUGGGUAACAUUUGGACAAGAAACAUAAUGAACAAAAUGAAAGGAGAGGAAGCUAGUAAUAAAAGAUUCUUUUGGGUUAUAUAAUUUGUUUGGCAUAUAUUUUUAUAAUAUUUAAAUAUCAUUUUGGAGUUGUUGAAUUAUAAUUUAUUUUUAUGUUUUAAAACAUAAUUAUUCUAUUUUUAGAGGUCAGAGUAGAGGUGAGCAUGAGUCGGGCUACUCGGCUCGGGCUGAAGGCUUGCGCAAAAUGUGAGAGAUUUGGGUAAAAAUAUAGGCCCGAAAAAUGAGUUUAGACAAAAAAAAAUAUAAGGCCCGUUGAAAAAACAGGCUAGGCCUUGGGUAAGGCAUUUUGGCCCCAGACCCGGCCCAACCCAAAUUCACUAAGGGCACGUUUGGUUCGCUGUAUUGGAAUAGAGGCGUAAUGUAAUAGAGGCGUAAUGGAAUAGAGACGUAAUAGCAAAUCAAUUGUUUGGUUGAAUGUAAUGGAAUAGAGGCGUAAUAGUAUUCUUAUAUUUGGUUGAAUGGAAUAGAGUUGUAAUAGCAUAAGGAAAAAAGUUAAAAUGACUAGAAUACCCUUAGCAGAAAUUUGUUUAGAUAAAUGAUUAUUGUUAUUGUUAUUAAAUUUUAAUAAGAUUAUUAAUAUCAGUAAUAAAUAAUUUAAUCAUAUUUUAACAUAAUUAUUAUUAAAUAUAAUUUAAUAAAAAUAUAUAAUUUAAUAAAAUUCUUAAUAUUAAAUAUUCUUAAUAUUAAAUUACUAAAAUCAUAAUAUAUAAUACUAUAAAAUAUAAUUUAACAUAAUUAUUAUUAAAUAUAAUUUAAUAAAAUUCUCAAUAUUAAAUAUAUUCUUAUAUGAAUUUACUAAAAUCAUAAUAUAUAAUACUAUAAAAUAUAAUUUAAAAUAAUUAUUAUUAAAUAUAAUUUAAUAAAAAUAUAUAAUUUAAUCUAAAGUUUGAAUGUGUAUUUACCUAGCAAAAAUCAAUGAACUCUCGUGUAACUAUAACCUUAAUAAUAUAUGAUGUAUAAUUAAUAUUUCGUGACUAAUUAAUAGCAUAGAGAUAAAUAUAGUAAUGACGAAUUUAUAGUAUACGAUUAAAAUGCUAAUAAUUUAUAGUAUACAAUUAAAAUAUUAUAAAUAAAAUAAUAGUAAAUGAUAUAUAAGAUAAAUUAACAUAUAAAUAAUUCAGAUAUGUAAAGGAUAUGGCUGAAUAUGGUUGCUCCAAUAAUAAAGGAUAUAUAAUAUAUCAUGGUGUUGUUUUGUUUAGAUAGUUCGGUAACUUAGGAGGGUAUGUAUGAAGAACACAAGUUGAUGCAGAUAGAAAGACGACAAUAUUACAUGAUUACAAUAUGAUAUAGUAUAUAUAUAUAAUUUAUGGAUUCCUUGCAAUCACGUGGGUUCUCUAGCCAUUUUAUUUAGCAUAUCCAGUGAUAUUAAGAUCCAGAAUUAUAAUACAACUAAAAUCUGUGCACACUUAUGGAUGAUCCAACAAAGCCUCAGUUGGCUUUAGGUUCCAAAUCUUGCAACCCACAAACCAUAUUUGCUGGCACUGCAACAUCAAUCAUCUUAGGAUAUGCCAAGUUAAGAUCUGUUGCACCAACAAAAACAGAGGAGAAAUUGGAAGGCGAUCCGAAAAAACCCAAGGAUGCUUUUUCUUUUCUUUUUUUUUUAUAAUCUUUAUAGACUGGUUAUAUUGAGCAUCAACUUACUUUCCAUGAUGUUUUUGAAAGUCUCUUACAAAAAGGGUAUUCAACAAAUAAUAUAAUCAGACAUAUUGAUAGGACAAAUUGAAACUAGUAUUCUAUGAUCAUAAUAAAGAGUAAUCUUUAAUCAAAUGCGUGAAGGUAUUGAGAUGUCAUGCUUUUUCAUGAUUUCCUGUUUUACCAUGGCGAUGUUCAUUGGAAUAGUCCCAUCCAAGAGAAUCAAACCAAUGCUCAGCAAGAAAUGUUCAAUGCAUAUGUAAUUUUAAUUACAGAAGUUAUAUGCAGCUUAUAUGAGUUCAAGAUCAUAAAAUACUUCAUGGACAAAAGGAAACCCUUUCUUAUCACUGAAAUGAAAAUAGGCACUCUUAAUUUUCUAUUGUCAAAAGUAGCAAGCCAUUUUCCAAAGAAAAGGGAAGAUGGAUGGUUCCAGAAAGAAUACCUCAUCCUUUGUCAAGUGUGGAUUAUAUAGCAUCUCCUCUCCCACAGUGGUUACCUAUAAUCAAUGAGGUUUAUAAAAUCGAGCAAUCAUUUAUAUAUGUAAGAAAUGAUAGGAAUAAAGUUUUAUAUCUUACUGAGAAUCCUUUGUAGUCAUGAGCUGGAUAUAGCAAUGUCUCUUUCGGUAAUGUAAAAAUCUGGAUCCAUGAAACAAAUAAGUCCAUAAAUUUUAUUCAAAUUUUGACAAUUACAAUAAAAUUUUGAGAACUCAAAGAAUGUGACCAUAAAAAGUCCCCUGUCCUUACCUGUGAAUGCACUGACUUGUAGAGUUGCUGUGAACUUCCACCCUGCAAAAUGCAUUAAUCAGUGCUAGUCAAUGGCUACUGAAUGUGGGAGCAUUAGAGAAAAUUAUCUUAAAAACUUAAGUAUAACAAAAUUAGACAAUGACAUCCAGAUGGAAAGAAAUUGCCAGCAUAUAAGACCAGCAUUUAUGUACUCACGACUGAAAAUCCUUUGCAAAAAGUAUAGCCCUGAUAGUUCAAACUUUUACUUCAAGGAUGAUUUAAUUACUGAUUAGUUUGCCAUGAGGCUUGUGAAUGACAAACACUUUAUGUGCAACCACAGUAACAAGGUAAGCACCAAUAAGUAGAAGACUAGACGAAUAGGUAACCAAGAGUUAGAGCUAAAACAGACAAACAGAGCUACUAUCCAAUGAGCUAAAACAUACAAACAGAGGUAUAUUUUAAUAAUGAAAAUAAUCGAUUGCCUUAAACACCAUAUAGUGUUCCAAUCAAUCAAAUUAUAGCAGGCAUUAAAACCUUUCCCUUUCGUUAAUUCACAACUAUUAGCUUCAUUAAUCAAAUCCUAUGUACAGUUGAUCGAUUGAAAGUGUAACAUUUCAAAGACGAAAUUUAAACGCAAAACUGGUUAACAUUGAAAUUACAUGUAAAUAUAACCUAAAAAAUCAAAAAAUUAAUCAUAUUUUCAGAUUUCAGGCCGAAAUGGAAUGAAAUGAAAGGUAAAUCCAUUUUUUCCCCAAAAAAACAAAAAUAAAGAAAUAAUAUUUCAAGAACAGAUCAUUAAAUUCAUGGUAUAUAUAAAGAAAUUUAAUUGAAAUCAAAGGAAUAGAAGAAGGGAAAAGCGUACUUGGAACCAUUGCUGCUACUCUCUGUUACUCUGUUACCUCAUACGAUUCGUUAAAGGGUUGUUAGGGUUUGUUAAAAGGUUGGUCAGGAUAGAAGCAUGAAAAGGAGGGAGAAGGUUGGAAGGAAAUGGGAAGAAAAAUGAAAAAAAGAAGAAGAUGCUGCAACGGCUUGGAGGGUAAAAGAGGACCGAUUAGGUAAUCCUUUCUUUUGGAAGGGAUUACAAAUCGGCGCUGCAUAAGGGAAAAUGGGGAAUCAGUGCGCUGCGUAAUAGGCCCGUAUUAAGGCAAUACAGCCAACCAAACAUGGUAAUCAGUGGGGCCACGAAUUAGGGGUGUAUUGGCUAAUCCAAUACACCCAACCAAACAUGCUCUAAAGGACAAAAAAAUUUGAUUUUUUAAAUAUUAUUUUCUCUCUAUUUUGCUAUCAUUUUACUAUUAUGUUGCUACUAUGUUAUUGUUAUUUUUGAAUAUUGUAUAAAACUUAUUUUAUUGUUAAUUUUGUUAUUAUUUUAAAGACAUUUGUUAAUUUUGUUAUUAUUUUAGAGACAUUUGUUUGUUAAGUUGCAUCUAUCUUAGUGUUAUUUAAGUAUACAUAUUUUUUAAAAUUUAUUUUCAAUUUAUUGGGAAAUAUUUAUUUUGAUGUUUUUAGUAUUUUGGAUGUAUUAUAUAUAUUAAAAUUAUAUAAAAAUUAAUAUGGCCGAGCCAGGUCAGGCCCAGAUUUUAGCAUUUUUAUUCAGGUCGGGCUUGAGCAAAAUUUUAAGCCCAUUUUUUGGGCCAAACCAGGCCUGGGCUUAGCAAAUGGGCCUAAAUUUUUAGUCAAGCUCGACCUAAACCCGAUCCGGCCCAUGCUCACCUCUAGAUCAGAGCUGCCCUCGCUUUGCAUUUCUUUGAGAUUCAGUCUUAUCUACUGUUGAUUGCCCACUCAAUGGAGGGUUGAGUAGAAAGAUUUGGUGAAGCAAGCUAAGCUAUCAAUCAAGGUUGGAGAAAGCUUAGGAGGUCACAAUGCAUAAUUAUUUAAAUGUAAUUCUAAUAUUUAAAUAAAAUUUAUUAAUAUAGUAUUAACAAGCCCUAAAUGUAAUGAUUAUAUACUAUUACAUUUUUAAGAAGAGAAAACAUGUUUGAACCUUAAAAACAUCAUUAUUAAAAAUGAUAAUUACAAAUUUUAAAAUAUAAAAAAUAUAAUUAAAAAUUAAUUUUAAACCCGAGCUGGAUAAAAUUCUAAUUUUAGAUAACGAUACUAAUAAGAAAUCAAUAUUAAAAUGAAAAUGAAAAGUAAUUUAAUAUAAUUUUUGAGUCUUGGGCAAAGGCACUCAAUGAAUGCUUGGAAAGAAAUAAUGCAACUUGGUGAUAGCUUUUGUUGGAGUAAUAUGCUCUUAUUAUAGUUUUAUGUUUUUAUCUUGCAAAAACAACAUAUUGGAGUUUUCGGCAUGAUUUUUUCUUAAUACUUUACAUGAAAAAUAAUAAUGGGACUUAAAUUGCUACAAUAUUACAACACAAAGUUACAAUAAGAGCUUAUAACUCAACAAAGGCUAUCAAUAAAUAAUCUCAGGCAAGCUAAAGAGAAAUGUUGAGAAUACCACCCGAAUAGUGACUGACUUUAAAAGUUGAAAACCCGAAGCUAUAUUAUCUCAAACGAAAUCAAACCAUAAACAUUAAAAUUUUCAAGUCUACUAGUUACUGUAAAAAAUUCAGCUCCAACAGACACCAAAUGAGCCUUUGAUCGAAGAAAGUACGAAAAAUAGUCUAGGUAAACCAAGCUUCCAAACUUACUUAUCUUAUCUUUAAUUUGCAGUGAAAUUCAAAAUUAAGAUUUUGUUUAUUUCACUUGGAACAACUUUCAAAAAAUUAUUUUUGAAAAAUGAAUUGGUUUUUCGAAAUAGAUGAUAUUUUAUUGUGUCAAAAUUUUAUUCAUUGUAGGAAAACUUUUUUUAAAUCAUUUUCUUAGAGUUAUUUUUAGUUAAAUAAACAUAACAUAAAUAUAUUUGUUACAAAAAAUUAUACUAGUAUUUUCUUUUGACAAUUAAAAUUUAUUUUAUGGUAAGACAAUAUUUUAUAAUAAUUAAUAUCAUAUAUAUACGUAAUAAAAAUCAUGUUUAAUUAAAAUUUAAUUAAAAUUAGAUGUAUUAAUAAAGCUACUCCUCCACAACCCGCAUCCGCAACAGCACCAGCACCAGCACCAGCACCAGCAUCAGCACCAUGGGACAACUAUUGGGUUUCCUCCACCUGCCUCUAUCGCUCCUCCUCAGUAUUACCCCCAAGCCUACCAGACCGUGCCGGGUAUUCUACAAAUAUGAAAAAACCUUCUUCUCUUUUUAUUAGCUUAUCGAAAUGAAGGAUUUUGAGAUUUGGGCUUUUGUUAGAUGGAUGGUUAAUGAUAUUUUUUAGAUGAAAGAUACAAGUUUUUUAAUGUUUUAGAAGAAAAGGUGUUUAAAUAUUAGGAGUUUUUUAGCAGAGAAAGAAGAUAAAUAAAUGCAUAGAGAUACAUUAGCAAUAUUAUUUGGAUUUGGUUGUCUAAUGUAAUGAAGAAUUUUUUAAGGGUGACCUGAGUAGGUGUGGCAAGAUUCAAAGUUUUUUCUAUUAUAGCAGAUAUAUAUAUAUUAAUGGUUUAAGAAGACUAGAAGUCGGUUUCAAAGGAAGAUGAGAAAUAAAAGCAUUUAUAUAUAUGAUAUGUCAUUAAUUCAUAAACCAAAUAUAUAAAGUAUGUAAAAGUGUCAGGGGUUAAUCAUGGUGUUUUGACAAUCCGGUAACCUUCAACUUGAAGAAAACCUUAGGUUUCAAAAAUUUAUGUGAAGAGUUAGAAUGGUAUGCUUCAUGGAUCUGAAUAACUAGAACAGUGUAAGAGUGGUAUAUUGUGUCAAGUUUGGUUUCUUGUAUAUAAUUGUAUCGAAAACAAUGUUACAUGAGUUAAAAUGAAUGUUCAUCCAAUUUAACAAAGCCUGCAUUAUGUUGAUCAAAAUUUUUAAUUCAUGUUGAGGUUUCUUCCGUGAUAUCUUUGAUGUCAAGGUUAUGAUGUUGCUGAAGGGACACCUGUAAGAGAUAAGCCACCGUGCUGUGGCAUUGGAUUCGGAUGGUUCUUGUAAGUGUACAUAGUUUUCUUUGUUUUUAAAGAGUUCUUUACAUAUGAAGUAAAACAAGUAGCGACUUGAUGGAUAUGUCAUUAAGCUUUAACUUAAGCAAAUCAUUUUCCUUCAUCUCUAAUUGCCAUUUCUUUAAAAGAAAAAGAGGAAGUUUUGUAGUUUACAGUUUGGACAAAUGGAAGUUAAUAUAAUGCACUAUUUGGAUGGACUAUGGAGAUAUCCAAUCAUAUUGGAUGAGUUAUAAGAAACCUGUGAGUUCAUAUUGGGUUUACUUUAUAUCAUAAUUAGAUUGUUGAGCUGGCUGUCAUACUUAGAUGGUAUUUCACGUUGCUACUUGUUAAACUAUACCACUUUCACAUUCAUACGUGAAAUGGCUGGGAUUUAGUGCCAUUCUACUUAGCAGCCUCGUGUAAUACACAGGUGAAAUGUUUAUGUCUUCAUGUCACCUUAAAGUUCCCAUUUCCAUGACGGUAUUGUUAAGUAAAGACUGGUACAUACCCCAAAAUACGGAAAUUGUUUUGGAUGUAUACUAUACUUUACCAUGCAUGAUUUUUUACAAGUUUGCAUGGUAUUUUAUCAUUAUAUUGGUCUUUAUUUUCUAUACUCGCAGCUUCCAUUAAUAUAUUUUUAUGAAUUUUAUCAUUAUGCUGGUUUGAAGGUUCAUCAUUGGUUUCUUCAUUGGGGGCCAUCCCUGGUAUAUUGGAUUCUUUGUUUUACUUUGUGCAAGGAUAGACGACAGAGAGAAAGCAGGAUAUAUUGCAUGCACAAUUGCCGUGAGUAUCUUUUCUAUCAUUAUUUUUUUCUUUUCCAAUUUUAUGAAAGCCAUCCUUCCUGCCUUGUAUUGAUCAUCAAUUUAACCAUUAUAUAUAUGUAUCUUAUGUAUUUGUACCAUGCUUUAUCUUCAAUGCAAAUAUAAGUUAAACUACAAAGAUUGGAUUGUUAAAAAAAGUUUAAAAUGUUAAAAAAAUUGAAAAUUUUGAUUUUGUAAGAAUGAUAGAAAACCAAGGCCAGUGCUUGCAUAUGUUAUCUACUACAUGCACAAUCGGGUCGAUGUCUGUAUAUGUUUCAUGUUUAGAAAUCGUGUUCAAUUGGGUUACGAUAUGUACAAUUGAAGUGUCAAUUUAUAAUUUCCUUAUCAAGAUUACACAUUUUUUUGUUAAUAUUCGGAAUCACUCAAUGGUUAUAAACCCUGAUUGGAUACUGUCCACAAAGUCUAGUUGGAACAUCCCUUGUAUUCUUUGUCCUUUCUAAGAACUUUCCUUUCCAUCAUUCUCGCUUCUGUUUUUUUUUUCUUCCCUCUACUUUAAGUCAUUAUCUAACGUAGAUAUCCCUUGUAUUCUUUGUCCUUUCUAUGGCAAUCGAGUCAAUUGAUGGCAAGCCAAAAAAACAAAAAGAGCAGCUAUCCUGUCUUACUCGAUUGCCAUCCCUCCUGUUAAACACCAUUAAGAAAAGGAAAAUUUUAGUUAAGCUUUAAAACAGCCAUGUUUUAACGAUGUUGGUGAUGGUGCUUGUGCAGGCCCUUCUUGCUACAAUUACAAUUAUUCUUAGUGCAACAAUUAAAGCUGGUGGGUGAUAAAGCACACCUCUUUUGACUGAGAGAUGUAUAGGUUCCCAAAUAAUAUGUAUAUGCUCCCCCCCCUCCCUUUAUUUUAUUUUAUUUCCAGUAAGUUAUUGUUUAUGAUAAUUUGCAACAAAUGUUUUUGUCAUUAUUUUGUUGGUGAAUGAUAAUAAGAUUAAGCUUUACUUUCUUAAGCUCCAAUUCCUUGGACGUUGGUGAUUUUUUUAUUAUAGUUGAGUCAUUGUAUGGUAUUAAUAUAAUUUAUGUCGCUUAAAAUUUAUAACUAAAAAUAUAAAAUUUAAAUUUUACUUCAAUUUAUUUGUAUUUAUAAAUGGUUAAUUCAAACUUAUUUUUUUCCUCAUUAUAUUUUAUAUUUAAAUUAACAUUUAAACUAUUUUUCAUUAGCAAUGUUGUUAAGAAUUAUAUUUUUUAGCACCAACAUCAAACUUACUAAAAUUAAAUUUUUAACUAUUUAAAAAAAAUAUUUUUAGCUAUUUAUCAUCAUAGAGAAAAAAAGGUGACGUCACCACGCCUCAUGCUUCGACACCACAAACUAGACUCUCAUCACCCGUAUUUAUCAUCGAUUCAAAUUCCAGAACUACCUAAAAAUAUAUCUUCAAACUUCCUCUGGUUAAGUUCAUUGAUAGUCAACUUACUAUCAUUUCUAAAAAAAAAACAAAUAAAUUGGUUAAUAGUAAUCUCAAUGAUUCAAUUUUAUUCUUACCAGUAUCUGUCCUUUAGAAAGGGGCUUAUAAAAGGGGUAGAGGUGAGUAAACUUGAGCUUCAGCUUUCCACAAACACCUUAAUUUGAAGACACAGUUCUCUCAUACUAAAAAAGACAUGGAAGUUUACCUUGUAAUUAGAGAUUUGGUUUCAUUGCUUGUUGUUGGGUUAUUAAUGAUAUGGGGAUGCAGAACUUUAAACUGGGUAUGGCUGGCCCCAAAAAGGCUCGAAAGCUGCUUGAGACAACAGGGUUUUGCAGGGAAUCCUUACAGGUUCCUUUCUGGUGACAUAAAAGAGCUCUCAACUAUGAGCAGACAAACAAGAGCCAAACCUAUGCCUCUUAGUGAUGAUAUUGGGCCUUAUGUUGUUCCUUUUCAACAUCAAACUGCUAACCAGUAUGGUAUGUUUUUUUUGUUUAAUCUGCAAUUUAUGAUAAUUCUUUGUUAUUUAUGUAUGGAAUUUAUUGGGAGGAAAUGCAGGAAAGAAUUCAUUUACGUGGUUUGGUCCAAGACCAAGGGUGAACAUUACGGACCCUGAAAAAAUAAGAGAAAUACUUAACAAAUUUAAUGACUUCCAGAAGAUACAUACCAAUCCACUGCUUAAUUUGCUUGUAAGCGGCCUUGCUAACCUCGACGGAGACCGAUGGAGCAAGCGUAGAAAAAUCAUAAACCCUGCAUUUCAUCAAGAUAAGUUGAAGGUAUAGAAUAGUGAUGGGUAAUCAGACUUUACAGAAAACAUCAUACUUAAACCUAUGCUUUUCUGAUUUAGAAAUAAUUGGAUGCAGAAUAUGUUGCCAGCAUUUUAUCAAAGUUGUAGUGACAUGUUAAGCAAAUGGGAGAAGAUGGUGUGUACAAAAGGAUACAGUGAGUUAGAUGUGUGGCCUUAUCUCGUAGAUUUGACAAGAGAUGUGAUUUCCCGAUCUGCUUUUGGAAGCAGCUUCGAAGAAGGCAAACGAAUUUUCCAAUUACUAGAGGACCAACUCGUUCACAUAAUCAAAUUAAUACAAACUGUUUACAUUCCAGGAUGGAGGUAACCGUCAACUUAAUUUACUUGAAAAAGGUUGCAAAUGUUGGAAUUCGCUAAAUUCGUGUUUGUUUUCUUGAAGGUUUUUGCCAACGAAGACAAACAGGGAGAUGAAGAUGAAACACAGGGACAUAAAAGAGUUGCUUAUGGAAAUGAUAAAGAGAAGGGAGAAGGCAAUUAAAGCAGGGGAAGAGAGCAAUGAGGACUUGUUGGACAUACUUGUGGAAUCCAAUAUCAGAGAAAUGGAAGCAAAGAAUAUUGGGAUGAGCAUUGAGGAUGUGAUUGAGGAAUGCAAGCUGUUUUACUUAGCUGGCCAAGAGACCACUUCGGUCUUACUGGUGUGGACUAUGGUUUUAUUAGCAAGGUAUCCCGAUUGGCAAAGUAAAGCAAGAGAGGAGGUUUUGCAUGUUUUGGGUGACAGUAAACCUGACGCUGAUGGCCUUAAUCGUCUCAAAGUUGUAAGUCCCUAGCAUGUCUUUUGAAGGUCCGAUCAAUGAGGUCGACAACUCAAAAACUUUGUUUCUUUUUUCGCUAAUUCUACAGGUAACAAUGAUAUUGUACGAGGUUCUAAGGCUGUACCCACCGGUGGUUGAGCUAGAACGUUCCGUUCCAAAAGAAAUAAAACUGGGGAAUUUGUUGUUACCAGUAGGAACAGAAGUUUCGGUUCCGAUCCUGCUGAUCCACCAUGACAAAGAUCUUUGGGGCGAUGACGCACGGGAAUUUAAGCCAGAGCGGUUCGCGGAAGGGGUUUCCAAAGCAACAAAGAGUCAAGUCACGUUUCUGCCAUUCGGAUGGGGUCCUAGGAUCUGUAUUGGCCAAAAUUUUGCUAUGAUGGAAGCCAAAAUGGCGAUGGCUAUGAUUCUCCAACGCUUCUGGUUCGAGCUUUCCCCUUCCUAUGCUCACUCUCCUUACGGCAGGGCAACUCUUCGUCCACAGCAUGGUGCACAGAUAAUUUUACAUAAACUUGG